Dermacentor albipictus is the source of this 1654-nucleotide non-coding RNA. The record is from RefSeq and is a predicted model, not a curated record. NCBI's taxonomy places the organism in Eukaryota, Metazoa, Arthropoda, Arachnida, Ixodida, Ixodidae.
AGUGGCCUUUCACGUGAAGGAGCACUGCAGCAGCCAGGAGUGGGCCCUGUUGAGCCACUGCCCCGAAGCCCUCCAGCCACUGCACAGCCUGCAGCUGGCCCUGGCGGAGUGAGAACCAGCUACCAACCCCGGGUGCAGCGCCGGUCGCGAGGCCCUCGUCGGGUGUCCCACCGGGACGCCUUGGUCGAACGGCUCGCGGACGACUACGCCAGAACCGUCGCACAGAACGACGAGACAAACGAAGUGCGUGUGCCCUUGCCUGCUUUAUAUGGUGGAGCGUAAUAGAAUGACAGUAGACAGGUGUAACAUUUUUUUAGCAAUUUGAUGAGCUGCACAGGUCACUAACUCACAUACAUGGCUAACACGUGUUUCAAUAGCUGAACUGAAAAAAAAAGACUAAGGGAGACGGACGAGAACAUCAUCAUACAUUACGUACAUGGUCAUAAACACGGUCACUUGCAAUCAUUAACACAAUGUAACAGCUUCAAACACAGUAAUCACUGCCAUUAGCAUUUCUGCAACAGGCAAUAACUGGGUGGACUAGACAACAGGGACACUUGCAAUCAAUCACACAAUAACAGCUUCAUACAUUCCUAUUUCCACUAAAGCUCUUUCUUUUGAGCAGUUUCAUAGACAUGGCAAGUUGCCUGUAAUUAAAUCACUCGUUUUAGAACACUGCCUCAUAUGACUUACUCGUUUCAAACCUUGGCCGCCCACCUUCAAGUAUUACCUAAUGAAUUUUUCCGCAUAUGCUGUAAUUGCACCACACACAUCGGAUUGCGCAUGCUGAUUGUGAUAGUUCUCCCCCAUCACACAAAAAUAUUCAUGUCUGAAACAUUUUUCCCAAGGCAGCGGCGUAAAUUGAGUGGCAUAUGUAAAACACCUAAAAUGCUCUGGGCCCUUCAUCUUCAUAAUUAUUUGCAAAGGCGGCAGCUAACUCACAGUUCAAAUUUAGCUUGCACAUCGCCGUAAAGUUUCCUUUAUUUUGACGCACUUAGAAACACUAUAGCUUGCAUAGUUCAUUGAGGACGAUGGAGAACACAAACCUCAAUAAACUAUUGAAACAUAAAAAAGGAGAACACUGUUGAUUAAUGAGUUGCAAUGGUUGUAAUUAAGGCAGUAAGAGGAAAACUUUGCCACACAAUACACUCAGGACUGUGGCUAUUUCCACAAAGUUUGAAGUUGCUAACUUGUUCUGGAAGGCUGGGAAACAUCACAUAUAAUGGCAGUGCGACAGCUUGCAAUGCUUGAAUAACAAUUUAUAUACAGGGUCCAAUACAUGCUUUUGCAACAAAAUGCAACAUAGGGCCUAGCAUUCUUUGCUACAGUGAUACAUGUCAAGGUCGCUUGCUCAUUUGCAAUCCCAAACUUAUUGCUAUGCCAUCUGUUAACUUUCCGGCGGCUCGACAGCAUAAAAGUACAUAUGGUAUUGAUAUUUCUUUGCACAACUACAUGAAAACCAACAACAAAAAACAGAUACAAUGGUGCAGACAGACAACAACAUAGAAAGUGUUUGUCCUUGUCCCCAUAACUAAUGAACAUAUGGUAAUCUGAAUGAGCAUACAUGCAGUUGAGCGCCUUUAUACCUAAAGUGCUUGGGACCACCAAAAUCAUCCGUUUUACAGCUCACUUUGUAAACAUUGUGCACAGCACG